GUUCUAUCUGCCCUUUGACCACUUUAGCUCGGUCACACUCACUGAUCUCACUAUACUUGUAAAAGUAUCCUUUUUGCUAAUCCGUAUUGCUGAGCUCGGUGUUGCGUUGAGACGUUUGCAAGGAACAGAAGAACAUCGGCAGAAAUUUGAGACGGAAAAUAAAAUCAGAAACAUGAAGUUGGCUUUGAUUGUGAUUGAUAUGCAAAACUUUUUCAAGGACCUGGCAGAACCAAUUUUGAAAAACAUAACUGCAUUGGUAAAUCAAUGUCACAAAAAAGCAGUCCCUGUUAUUUUCACUCAGCAUCAUGACCCAGAUCCAAGGUCAGUGCAAUCAAUCUUCGUGCAAAACCAGAUUGUACAUGGCUCUGAGAGCUGGCAGCUAUAUGAACCAGUGAUGGAUCUAGCUAAUAAAGAGACAGAUUUCUUUAUCGAGGAAAAAUGCAGAUAUGAUGCAUUUUGGAACACAAGGUUGAAAGAUAUACUGCUUAAGGAAUGUGUGGACACUGUCAUCAUAACUGGUGUGAUGACAAACUUGUGCUGUGAGACAACUGCAAGAACAGCAGUGUGUAAUGAUUUUAAUAUUUUGUUUGUGAGUGAUGGCAAUGCAACCAGACAGAAAGAAUGGCAUGAUGCUACCUUAGAAAAUAUUGGAGGCUUCUUUGGAAAGGUGGUUACAACAGAGGAUGUUUUAAAACUUAUUUGAUGUCACAUGAAUGCUGGUGUAUCUCAUUUGCAUAGGAGAGUUUUCAUUUGACUUUGAUGCAAAAUUCCAUACAAUUGAUUUUUAUGUGUGUAACUACCUCUUUCAUUUUAGAGGGGGUGCCAAAUUUUUAGCAAUUUUAGCACUGUCUGAAGAACUCUUAUGAUUAUGAAUUUAUAACCUUUGAUUUACAUGGCUGUAUUUUUGACAAGGAUUCCGGUUUUUAAUGCUUAGAACAAAUCAUCUUUCUGGUUGAAUUUUGUAGAAAACCUUUUUACUGGCACUAGGCCCAAAGCUUUUGGGAGCCAGAAGGGGAGCCUCUACGCUUUCUUUUGGGAAGCCCUACUCUUAAGAAAAAAUAAGAAUAGUUAAGAAACAAGAAGGAAAGGAAUCAAUGCAUUUCAGUUAGCAAUUAUGAAUUUUAAGAAUUUUCACAUGAAAAUAUAUGACUACAACCUGCGUUUUUUACGUGGUUUUCCUUAAAAACCAGAACAUUGGGUGGAUUGUUAAUUUUUGGCAAUUACAUCUGGCAGAAAAAGUUGGCAUCUUUGGCCAUUCUUUUGAUAUUAAGACAAAUAGUGAGAGUCUGUUUUUUUGAUAUAAAAUUUUUCAUAUGAUUUCUCUAUGUAGUGUAGAUUUUAUGAUAGUAUACAAUUCCAUGAAAAACUUUACACCGUCAGUCUUUAGAAUUUUAGAAACGUCGUAAAAAUUGAUAUCACGUGCAUUUGCUUUAUGAAAACUUACAGGUAGCUUAGACUUUUUGUCUUUGAUGCUAAUCUAAAGUAAAAAAUCUUGUAUAACAGAAAUUGGAAGUAUUUUUCAAAAUGAAGCUAUACAAUUCAAUUGAUAUUUUGAGCAAACCGCUGAAGGAAGAUCAUUGUUUGUAUGUUGAUUAACAAUGUUACUCGUUCUGGUUGCAGGUGUUUGAGUUUUGGUAGAAGGUGCGAUUUUGAUGGUUUUUUGUCACCCCAACCCCCUCCCCCCAGGGGUCAUGUACCAGGCUUUUGAAUCCAGGGACAGAAAUUGAGCUUUUUGAGGGCGGUGGAAACACAGUUAAUUUAUUAAGCUUCUUGUUUUUUAUCUACUCAUUUCUAAUCAAUCUCUAUAUGUUUUUAUUGAUAUGGGACUUGUCAGCUGGACUAUAAUUCAUCCUAAAAGUCCGGUAACUUGUUAAGCAAAUUUCAGUUUGCGCGACUAUGAAAAAGAUAUUGAGAACUUAACCUUUAAAAUGAUUUAAUCUUGCUUACAUUUUUAGUAAUUAAAAAGCCUAACAAGAGAUAUAUUGCAAUUCAUACACUUUGGUGAUUGUGAACGAGCAAAUCUCAGAAACCUUUCGUGCUUGAAGCAAGGCAUAAGGAUGCAAAAUGAAAACUGUUUUAGACCAUUUCAGCCGUAAUAAAAAUGUGCGGAGAUUAAGCUGUCCGUCAACUGUUUGCCUGAAAUGUAACAAGGCCGCCGAGAGGUUUCAGAGACUCUGGUGCAAAACAUAAUAACGAGGCCACUUGCAAUCUAAGCAUCAGAAAAUAUUUGCGACCACGCCCUCCAGACUAGCUUAAAAUACACUUCAAAGUAUCUAUUGGAGUUAUUUUUUGCAAUCAUUGAAAAGUUGUGCUAUUUUUUGUCAUACUUUAGUAACGUUCCGUUAAUUAAAUUUUUUUACAAUUGAAUUCAUUACUAUAAGAGGCUCCCCAGGCCUCAAGGCCCUGGGAAAAUUUGCCUCCUUGCCCCCUCUAGGCGGCCCUGUAUGUUAACAGAAAGUCAAUAGCUCCACUUAUUGUCUUUUACCGUAAAUACUCCCCAAUU
Non-coding RNA from Rhopilema esculentum, 2503 nucleotides. Lineage: Eukaryota; Metazoa; Cnidaria; Scyphozoa; Rhizostomeae; Rhizostomatidae. The record is from RefSeq and is a predicted model, not a curated record.